GUCGGCGUUUCUGAAAAGUGCCCGGUUUGGAAUCAUAAUCCACGUGUCCGGGGUUCGAGUCCCUGUGCCGCCA
Molecule: transfer RNA, 73 nt
Filed under: Kiritimatiellia bacterium
Lineage: Bacteria; Pseudomonadati; Kiritimatiellota; Kiritimatiellia
Description: Kiritimatiellae bacterium (aquatic metagenome) tRNA-Met
Source: RNAcentral